This 86-nucleotide microRNA precursor is filed under the name Lutzomyia longipalpis. RNAcentral's name for it is "microRNA mir-315". Lineage: Eukaryota; Metazoa; Arthropoda; Insecta; Diptera; Psychodidae. The record is from RNAcentral.
UGGAUGUAUGACACUUUAUUUUGCCUAGAAGGCUUUGCCAUAGAAACGGCAAAGCCUUCUAGGCAAAAUAAAGUGUCAUACAUCCA